AGCAGCCGCGGCAAUUCCAGCUCCAAUAGCGUAUAUUAAAGUUGUUGCGGUUAAAAAAGCUCGUAGUUGAAUUUCGGGGGUCAGCAGGUUGGUCGUGCCACUGGUAUGUACUGGCUUUGCUGAUUCCUCCUUCUUGUAGAACCGUAAUGCCAUUAAUUUGGUGUUGCGGGGAAACAGGACUGUUACUUUGAAAAAAAUUAGAGUGUUUAAAGCAGGCUAACGCUUGAAUACAUUAGCAUGGAAUAAUGAAAUAGGACGAGCGAUCCUAUUUUGUUGGUUUCUAGGAUUGACGUAAUGAUUAAUAGGGAUAGUUGGGGGCAUUAGUAUUCAAUUGUCAGAGGUGAAAUUCUUGGAUUUAUUGAAGACUAACUACUGCGAAAGCAUUUGCCAAGGAUGUUUUCAUUAAUCAAGAACGAAAGUUAGGGGAUCGAAGACGAUCAGAUACCGUCGUAGUCUUAACCAUAAACUAUGCCGACUAGGGAUCGGAUGAUGUUAAUUUUAUAAUGACUCAUUCGGCGUC
Molecule: ribosomal RNA, 520 nt
Filed under: uncultured Glomus
Lineage: Eukaryota; Fungi; Glomeromycota; Glomeromycetes; Glomerales; Glomeraceae
Description: SSU rRNA
Rfam family: Eukaryotic small subunit ribosomal RNA
Source: RNAcentral